UUUUAAAUCUCUUUCAUUGAUACUUUUUAUCAAGUAGGAUCUAUUCUAUGACUGCUUUGGUCCACUUGCCAUCAGUUCUUCUUACUAUGUGACCAGCCCAUUUCCAUUCCAAUUCUUUUACUCUCUUGAUGAUAUCAUAUACUUUUAUUUGUUCUCUAAUCCAUAUAUGCACCCACAAUCA
This is a non-coding RNA of Pseudonaja textilis, 181 nucleotides long. The record is from RefSeq and is a predicted model, not a curated record. Lineage: Eukaryota; Metazoa; Chordata; Lepidosauria; Squamata; Elapidae.